UCACUCUAUAUGCAUGUAUCUUUCUCGGUCCCGGUCCCCUUUUUGCUAUUAGUUCAUCCAUGUCAUGAUCACUAAGGUUAUUCUUGGUUUUGUAGUUGUGGAUUGCUAUGGAGAAUGAAUGCCCUGAUUAAUUAGUAUUUAGAUGUAUUAUCCCAGACCUCAGAUGGAUUAGUUUUGAGGUACUUUUUUGAGUUAGAGAUUUUUCAAUCCAUGCAUAUGUUAACAUUUAGAUGAAAUGAUACAUAUUUUUGCAUCUUAUGUUGUAUAUUUGAGAUGCUGGAACUAAGAGAGCACUUCAAUGUCGCUGCUAAUGUUGGGUGCUACUUUGG
This 329-nucleotide long non-coding RNA is filed under the name Triticum aestivum (bread wheat). RNAcentral describes it as "long non-coding RNA (TAES_LNC016951)". The record is from RNAcentral. Lineage: Eukaryota; Viridiplantae; Streptophyta; Magnoliopsida; Poales; Poaceae.